This 467-nucleotide ribosomal RNA is filed under the name uncultured bacterium. RNAcentral describes it as "partial 16S ribosomal RNA". It matches the Rfam family "Bacterial small subunit ribosomal RNA", at positions 28 to 507 of the family's 1533-position model. The record is from RNAcentral.
GAUGAACGCUGGCGGCGUGCCUUACACAUGCAAGUCGAACGGUGAAGCAGAGCUUGCUCUGUGGUUCAGUGGCGAACGGGUGAGUAACACGUGAGCAACCUGCCCCUGACUCUGGGAUAAGCGCUGGAAACGGCGUCUAAUACUGGAUAUGAGCUGCGACCGCAUGGUCAGCGGUUGGAAAGAUUUUUCGGUCUGGGAUGGGCUCACGGCCUAUCAGCUUGUUGGUGAGGUAAUGGCUCACCAAGGCGUCGACGGGUAGCCGGCCUGAGAGGGUGACCGGCCACACUGGGACUGAGACACGGCCCAGACUCCUACGGGAGGCAGCAGUGGGGAAUAUUGCACAAUGGGCGAAAGCCUGAUGCAGCAACGCCGCGUGAGGGAUGACGGCCUUCGGGUUGUAAACCUCUUUUAGCAGGGAAGAAGCGAAAGUGACGGUACCUGCAGAAAAAGCGCCGGCUAACUACGUG